CCGAGAUUCCCCCAGUAGCGGCGAGCGAACGGGGAGGAGCCCAGAGCCUGAAUCAGUGUGUGUGUUAGUGGAAGCGUCUGGAAAGGCGCGCGAUACAGGGUGACAGCCCCGUACACAAAAAUGCACACAUUGUGAGCUCGAUGAGUAGGGCGGGACACGUGGUAUCCUGUCUGAAUAUGGGGGGACCAUCCUCCAAGGCUAAAUACUCCUGACUGACCGAUAGUGAACCAGUACCGUGAGGGAAAGGCGAAAAGA
This 255-nucleotide ribosomal RNA is filed under the name Escherichia coli. Its description in RNAcentral is "partial 23S ribosomal RNA". It matches the Rfam family "Bacterial large subunit ribosomal RNA", at positions 229 to 522 of the family's 2925-position model. The record is from RNAcentral. Lineage: Bacteria; Pseudomonadati; Pseudomonadota; Gammaproteobacteria; Enterobacterales; Enterobacteriaceae.